GAGGGGUGCAAGCGUUAUUCGGAAUCAUUGGGCGUAAAGGGUGCGUAGACGGCUUAUCAAGUCAACUGUUAAAUUCUCCGGCCUAACUGGAGGUCAGCAGUAGAAACUGAUAGGCUUGAGGUUGGAAGAGAGAAGUGGAAUUCUCGGAGUAGCGGUAAAAUGCGUAGAUCUCGAGAGGAACACCGAUGGCGAAGGCAGCUUCUUGGUCCAUACCUGACGUUGAGGCACGAAAGCGUGGGGAGCAAACAGGGAUUAGAUACCCUGGUAGUCCACGCCGUAAACGAUGAUCACUAGACGUUAAUUCUGCUUGCAGAAUCAGUGUCGUAGCUAACGCGAUAAGUGAUCCGCCUGGGAGUACGGUCGCAAGGCUA
RNAcentral lists this ribosomal RNA (371 nucleotides) under uncultured organism. RNAcentral's name for it is "partial 16S ribosomal RNA". It matches the Rfam family "Bacterial small subunit ribosomal RNA", at positions 527 to 896 of the family's 1533-position model. The record is from RNAcentral.